Long non-coding RNA from Lutra lutra (Eurasian river otter), 1176 nucleotides. RefSeq lists it as uncharacterized. The transcript has 3 exons. Lineage: Eukaryota; Metazoa; Chordata; Mammalia; Carnivora; Mustelidae. The record is from RefSeq and is a predicted model, not a curated record.
UCUAGUUCCUAACCCAGUGAUGCAUCCAAGAACUGGACAAAGCAACCAGCAGAAAUUAGAAACAGAGUUGGUACAGAAAACCACUCAAGCAGCGUCUCGGGCUCUUAGGCCAAAAUCCCCCACCGUCAUCCUGCUGUUUUUAUACUCUUUUAAAAUAAAUAUGUCCACUUUCCAGUCACGUGCACUGCAGGAACUCUCACCAAGAGAGGGCAGACCCCUGUCUGCUUGCUCAGCAGAUAGCUAUCAAACCACUAUCAUGCUCAAUGUGGAAUGCGAAAACAAAAAACAGAAAACAAACCCCAACCAACCAACCAAACAAAAAACCCAUUAAUUAUGGUCCUUACCAUCUGAAAGUUUUCAACUGGUUUGGGGAGAAAGGCCAAAAAUACUUGAUCAGAUUUAGGAUACAAGGACUGUGUCGGAGAGCAGGACAUGAUGUCAUCAAACAAGAGAGACCAGAUUUCCCAAUACUGCCCUUAUUCUUUGCAUCUGACAAUCAUCUGAUAUGAAAGAAAAUGUAGUAGAAACUUCUCCAAGCUGCAUAAAGAUGCCCCAGAAUCUCCAGUUUACCGGGAACUUGCCUUGGGUCUCCUGAACCGAAAAGCACAGAUCUUGCCUUCCUCCUGGAAGUCACCUUGUCCUUUGGAGCCGUCGGCCUGCAGGAGGUGGCUUCCUCUGGCUGGUGAGAAGCUGGCUCUUUUGUGCAGAGAGAUCUUGCCCUUCCAAAACCAGGGGCCGGGCCCAAUCCUUCCCGUGUAAUCACAGGGCAUUGCUGGAGAGGCAGGAAUCCGAGCGGAGCACUGUACUUAUUCAAACUGACGGAAAAACAAUGCCAUCAGCAUGAAUCAAUAGUAAUGGUGCAUUUGGCCAGCAGACUGUUAUUUCUGGGGACAGGAUGUGCACUCAGUUUUGAGGUUUAUUCAUGUCAGAUUUAGCUGUAUAGCAAUAUUUUCCAAACUUUGUUACUAGGAGAUAAUUUUUGGCAUGUGUAUGCAAUGCAUGUAUAUGUGUAUGUGUACACAUGUGUAUAAAAAAUACUACAGACUGGAUGGCUUAAACAACAGAAAUGUAUUUUCUCACUGUUCUGGAGGCUGGAGUCCGAGAUCAGUUUGCCAGCAUGGCUGGGUUCUGGGGAGAGCUCUCCUCCUGGCUUGCAUACAGGUGGCCACCUUCUUA